UACGGAGGAUGCAAGCGUUAUCCGGAAUGAUUGGGCGUAAAGCGUGCGCAGGUGGCUGUGUAAGUCUGCUGUUAAAGAGUGAGGCUCAACCUCAUAAAGGCAGUGGAAACUACAUGGCUAGAGUGCGUUCGGGGCAGAGGGAAUUCCUGGUGUAGCGGUGAAAUGCGUAGAGAUCAGGAAGAACACCGGUGGCGAAAGCGCUCUGCUAGGCCGCAACUGACACUGAGGGACGAAAGCUAGGGGAGCGAAUGGG
This 253-nucleotide ribosomal RNA is filed under the name uncultured bacterium. RNAcentral's name for it is "partial 16S ribosomal RNA". It matches the Rfam family "Bacterial small subunit ribosomal RNA", at positions 524 to 776 of the family's 1533-position model. The record is from RNAcentral.